GCCUUACACAUGCAAGUCGAACGGCAGCACGGGAGCAAUCCUGGUGGCGAGUGGCGAACGGGUGAGUAAUAUAUCGGAACGUGCCCAGUCGUGGGGGAUAACGCAGCGAAAGCUGUGCUAAUACCGCAUACGAUCUCUGGAUGAAAGCGGGGGACCUGCAAGGGCCUCGCGCGAUUGGAGCGGCCGAUAUCAGAUUAGCUAGUUGGUGGGGUAAAAGCCCACCAAGGCGACGAUCUGUAGCUGGUCUGAGAGGACGACCAGCCACACUGGAACUGAGACACGGUCCAGACUCCUACGGGAGGCAGCAGUGGGGAAUUUUGGACAAUGGGCGAAAGCCUGAUCCAGCAAUGCCGCGUGCAGGAUGAAGGCCUUCGGGUUGUAAACUGCUUUUGUACGGAACGAAAAGGUUUGCCCUAAUACGGCGGGCCCAUGACGGUACCGUAAGAAUAAGCACCGGCUAACUACGUGCCAGCAGCCGCGGUAAUACGUAGGGUGCGAGCGUUAAUCGGAAUUACUGGGCGUAAAGCGUGCGCAGGCGGUGAUGUAAGACAGAUGUGAAAUCCCCGGGCUCAACCUGGGACCUGCAUUUGUGACUGCACCGCUAGAGUACGGCAGAGGGGGAUGGAAUUCCGCGUGUAGCAGUGAAAUGCGUAGAUAUGCGGAGGAACACCGAUGGCGAAGGCAAUCCCCUGGGCCUGUACUGACGCUCAUGCACGAAAGCGUGGGGAGCAAACAGGAUUAGAUACCCUGGUAGUCCACGCCCUAAACGAUGUCAACUGGUUGUUGGGUCUUCACUGACUCAGUAACGAAGCUAACGCGUGAAGUUGACCGCCUGGGGAG
RNAcentral lists this ribosomal RNA (840 nucleotides) under uncultured bacterium. Its description in RNAcentral is "bacterial SSU rRNA". It matches the Rfam family "Bacterial small subunit ribosomal RNA", at positions 46 to 880 of the family's 1533-position model. The record is from RNAcentral.